This 30-nucleotide non-coding RNA is filed under the name Homo sapiens (human). Lineage: Eukaryota; Metazoa; Chordata; Mammalia; Primates; Hominidae. The record is from RNAcentral.
UUCACCUAUUGAAACUGGUGUUUGAGGAAA